This 329-nucleotide ribosomal RNA is filed under the name uncultured eukaryote. RNAcentral describes it as "partial 18S ribosomal RNA". It matches the Rfam family "Eukaryotic small subunit ribosomal RNA", at positions 1470 to 1796 of the family's 1831-position model. The record is from RNAcentral.
CCUUUAGAUGUUCUGGGCCGCACGCGCGCUACACUGAUGCAUUCAACGAGUCUAAAACCUGCUCUGAUAGGGGUGGGUAAUCUUUUGAAUGUGCAUCGUGAUUGGGAUAGAUGAUUGCAAUUUUUCAUCUUCAACGAGGAAUGCCUAGUAAACGCAAGUCAUCAGCUUGCAUUGAUUACGUCCCUGCCCUUUGUACACACCGCCCGUCGCUCCUACCGAUUGAAUGAUCCGAUGAAUAUCAUGGAUUGAGGAUGCAAGUAGGUUCGCCUAUCUUCAUCUUCGAGAAGUGAAGUAAAUCUUAUCAUUUAGAGGAAGGAGAAGUCGUAACA